Molecule: ribosomal RNA, 449 nt
Filed under: uncultured bacterium
Lineage: Bacteria
Description: partial 16S ribosomal RNA
Rfam family: Bacterial small subunit ribosomal RNA
Source: RNAcentral
AACGAACGCUGGCGGCAUGCCUAACACAUGCAAGUCGAACGAAGCCUUCGAGCUUAGUGGCGCACGGGUGCGUAACGCGUGGGAAUCUGCCCUUAGGUACGGAAUAACUCAGGGAAACUUGUGCUAAUACCGUAUGAUGUCGCGAGACCAAAGAUUUAUCGCCUAGGGAUGAGCCCGCGUUGGAUUAGCUAGUUGGUGAGGUAAAGGCUCACCAAGGCGACGAUCCAUAGCUGGUCUGAGAGGAUGAUCAGCCACACUGGGACUGAGACACGGCCCAGACUCCUACGGGAGGCGGCAGUGGGGAAUAUUGGACAAUGGGCGAAAGCCUGAUCCAGCAAUGCCGCGUGAGUGAAGAAGGCCUUCGGGUUGUAAAGCUCUUUUACCCGGGAAGAUAACGACUGUACCGGGAGAAUAAGCCCCGGCUAACUCCGUGCCAGCCGCCGCCGUAA